GACGAACGCUGGCGGCGUGCUUAACACAUGCAAGUCGAACGGAAAGGCCCUGCUUUUGUGGGGUGCUCGAGUGGCGAACGGGUGAGUAACACGUGAGUAACCUGCCCUUGACUUUGGGAUAACUUCAGGAAACUGGGGCUAAUACCGGGUAGGAGCUCCUGCUGCAUGGUGGGGGUUGGAAAGUUUCGGCGGCUGGGGAUGGACUCGCGGCUUAUCAGCUUGUUGGUGGGGUAGUGGCUUACCAAGGCUUUGACGGGUAGCCGGCCUGAGAGGGUGACCGGCCACAUUGGGACUGAGAUACGGCCCAGACUCCUACGGGAGGCAGCAGUGGGGAAUAUUGCACAAUGGGCGGAGGCCUGAUGCAGCAACGCCGCGUGCGGGAUGACGGCCUUCGGGUUGUAAACCGCUUUCGCCUGUGACGAAGCGUGAGUGACGGUAAUGGGUAAAGAAGCACCGGCUAACUACGUG
This 468-nucleotide ribosomal RNA is filed under the name uncultured bacterium. Its description in RNAcentral is "partial 16S ribosomal RNA". It matches the Rfam family "Bacterial small subunit ribosomal RNA", at positions 28 to 507 of the family's 1533-position model. The record is from RNAcentral.